Long non-coding RNA from Ictalurus punctatus (channel catfish), 1155 nucleotides. The record is from Ensembl. Lineage: Eukaryota; Metazoa; Chordata; Actinopteri; Siluriformes; Ictaluridae.
GGAAUGAGCAUUUUAACUGGAAUGUACAAGAAAAUGAGUUAUAAUCGUGUGUGUGUACCUGGUAAAAAAAGAUUGUUAAUUCUUAUGAACUUUAGUUUCAGUCUCAGGGUGCAGCUCCCAAUAUGUUUGUUGUCUGUAAUUGUUAUUUUAAUGCAAUAAUUCAUUUGUUUUGUAUGAUCCUUUUUUUGGUUUUUUUCCUCUCCAGACUUCACUUCUUAUUGAUCAGACAGAUUCAUUCAAGCAUUUGCCACAUGAUCAUGGAGCUCUCCAUUCAGGUCACAUGGUACUGGUGAAUUGUGUGUGAGAGUGUGUGAGAGUGUGUGAGAGUGUGUGAGAGUGUGUGAGAGUGUGUGAGAGUGUGUGAGAGUGGCUUUAGUAAAUUAAAGCUACAACACAAAUAUACUUUACCAGCAGGGGAUGUACUUUUAGAGUGAGUGUAUGAGAAAUGGACUGAUUUCUCUCAGGAUUUUUUAAAUGAUCACUUGUAGAAUUCUCUGGUGCUUUUAAAAUUUUUAUUUUAUUAUUAUUUUUUUUUUUAAUGUUUCUGUUCAAAAAAUAUUCUAACUUGUAUACAGGCUAUAUAACGUGCUGUAACUUUCUCCACUGUAAAUACAGCUGCAUUUUUAAGAUAUGAUCAACUGUGUCAUUGUCUGAUUUUAUUCAAUUUACUCAUUUACUAUCCGAUCUCAAGAUUCAACCAGUUUUAAAUACAUCGGACUGAAAAUGAUUCAAAUAUGGUUCAACGAACCGGACAAAGUUUGGUAGGUUUUUCACAUUGGCUGCUUUUAAAUACAUUUCCAAGAUCGUUUGGUAAUCAAAGUUUAUGCAGUUUGUGUUGGCAGCGUUGGAAUAGGAAAACUUGGUAUAAUUAACGUUGGUAGACAGGAUGUACUUCAUUCGGUAUACAGACGAGAGGAAACUUGUCUGAGUAGCUAAUACUUAUAAGAAAAAGAAUUGGAUAAAGAACAAAUAUAUUUUGGGUCAAAGUUUCUGAAGGACUGGCAUAAUGCAAUGGAACAUUUUAAUACCUAUAAUUAUAAGAUUGUCAUUGUCAUUGACUUCAUAUAGCAUAAUUAAGCACAACAAUGUGUGUCGUUUUGCCUAGGAGAGGCAGCAGGGUGUGGAGUGUCUAUUAUGAUGUCUGGAUGGAUUCAU